RNAcentral lists this long non-coding RNA (1101 nucleotides) under Phoenix dactylifera (date palm). RNAcentral describes it as "long non-coding RNA (PDAC_LNC007538)". The record is from RNAcentral. Lineage: Eukaryota; Viridiplantae; Streptophyta; Magnoliopsida; Arecales; Arecaceae.
AUUUUUGGUUAAAUUUGUAAGGCUUGGUUAUAUAAUGUGACCUUGGGUUUAGUUUGAGAUAGGCUUGUUUUGAUUGACUAAUAAAAGAAAGAUUUAUUUUGUUAGAUUUUCUCUUCUUGUUUCUAGUGCUUCUUCUCCCUCUCUAUACAUGCAAGCACGGCCUAUCAAGAAUUUUGAGUUUUACAUAAUGAGACUAGAUUAAUUAAUAGCUAAAUUACAUUGUUAUUUUUGAAACCCUAAUUAUGGAUCUAUUCAUAAUAUGGAAGAGGGGUGUCACGCCCCUAACUCAAAAUCGCGAGCCGAGGAUGAGAUAACCACCACAUGCUCAUAGAGAGCUUUCUCCGCAAAUAUGUAAAGCAUCUCAUGACAUCAUAAAGUAAACAGCGAAAUAAUUAAUUAAUUAAUUAAAUCUAAAAUUUAAAGAACUACCAUUCGAACUUAAUGUAUUAUAAAAUUUUAAUAAUCUAAUAGUUUUACAUGAAACUUAAAUAAAAUCCUAAACUAAAAUAAGAGACCAAAACUCUACUUUUGAUCAUUCUUUCGAAGCAUAACUUAGUGCCAAUUUAGUUCUUAAUAAGCAAUGGACACUUUAACUGAAUAAAUCAGAUGAUGAGCUAAUAAUAAUUUUACUGAAAAUAAGCAUAUGGAAGUAUGCUAGUUCAAAAAUCAGAUCUAAAUAUACAGCAAGAUCAAAGUAUCAUACAUGUGAAUCAAAUCCUACUCAAAAUUUUAAGUUAACUUUCAAGAAUUCCAAUUUUGCAAAAUACCAAGUUCAUCUCAUCAGCCAUGAACUAUUACCAUACUUAUACUUUAUAGUUGGGUCAGAUAAUAAGCUCAAAAAUAGUCAUAUUAUCAAUGGAUGACCUCCAAUAUUUCUAAUAGUAGGGUAUCAAAAUGGCAAUAUAUAACCCUCACUUGUAGGGUAUCGAAUUGUGAUGUAUAAUCCUCAUAGAUAGAACAUCGAAGUGCUAAUAUAUAAACCCUAUUAGCAAGGUAUCGAAGUGCUAACAUGUAAUCCCCGCUAGUAGGAUAUCGAAGUACCAACAUGAAACUCCCAUUAACAAGAUAUUAAAACAUAGUCCGGCUACGAGUCCAAAUUAA